AUGGGGUCCUUUGUGGCACGUCGGAAAAAACCCGAGCUCGUGCUACCGGCACGAGCAACACCGCGGGAGACUCUGCCUCUCUCCGACCUUGACGAUAUAAUAGGCCUGCGGCUUCUGCAGCCCUCCAUCGAGUUCUUUCGUGCGGUCGACAUUGGUGACCACGGGCAAGGGCGGCCUGCCAUUGCCGCCAAGGCAAUCAAGGCCGCCCUCGCGGAGGCGUUGGUGCACUACUACCCUCUGGCAGGCGGUCUCUGGGAGGCUCCUGGAGGCAAGCUAGUCGUCGACUGCACCGGGGAAGGUGUCGUGUUUGUCGAGGCGGAGGUGGACGUGUCCAUGGAUGAGCUCGGCAAGCCAUCGCCUCUGCCACCAUACCCAUGCGUCAAAGAACUGCUGUGCGAGGUGGGCAACCCUAUGGUUGUUGUCGGAGUUCCUCUCUUCUUGAUGCAGGUGACCCAACUCAGAUGUGGAGCAUUUGUAAUUGGUCUUCACAUUUGCCACAGCAUUGCCGACGGCUAUGGCAGUAUCCAAUUCUUGAAAUGCAUUGUCGACUUGGCCCGUACUAGUGGUGACACCUCGCAAAUUGUAUUGCCGGUAUGGAACAGGGAGCUCCUGACAGCACGUAUCCCGCCGCACAUAAACCCAGUGUUUGAGGAAUUCCUCCAGAGAUUAGGCAGCACUGGAGAUGACAUUAUGUUGUCAACGCCACCGGAAGAAAUGGUUGGCCGCUUCUUCGUCUUUAGUCCAAGAGACAUCAUGGUGCUAAGAAGCCACAAUGCCCCCAUGCAUCCUGACCCUCCAGCCACAAGCUUCGAGCUUCUGACCGCAGUCAUGUGGCGUUGCCGCACGGUGGCUCUCGAUUAUGAGCCACACCAUCGGGUCGGCCUAAUGUUCACUAUGAACGCGCGCGGGAGAGGGAAGCACCAUGGGCUCGUCCCGCAUGGGUUCUACGGCAAUGCGGUCUUCUACCCUAUGACGGACACGACCGUCGGAGAGCUAUGCGGCAACCCACUUACCUACACAAUCGCACUCAUCCGUGAGGCCAAGCGCAACAUGACUGGCGAUUGCAUGGAGUCCAUGGUGGAUUUCCUGGCCUCUCUGCGUGGGCGCCCACCACUGACCGUGGACAGAGUGUAUGAGGUCAGUGACAUGAAAUGGAUUGGACAGGAGGCACUGGACUUCGGAUGGGCUAAGCGUGUUGGAGGCGGCUUACCCAUGGUCGGGGAUGCCUCGACCGACUCUGUGAGCUGCCACAUGAGGUGUAAGAAUGGCAAAGGGGAGGAUGUGAUCGUGGUGAGCAUGUUAUUGCGAAGACUUGCAAUGGACAAGUUCGAGAAGGAGAUUGUUGUUUGGAUGAAUAAUAACGAAACUAGUUGUCCAGCUCAAUUUGAUGGCCUAAUCUGUCCCCGCUAA
Molecule: ribosomal RNA, 1410 nt
Filed under: Triticum aestivum (bread wheat)
Lineage: Eukaryota; Viridiplantae; Streptophyta; Magnoliopsida; Poales; Poaceae
Description: partial small subunit ribosomal RNA
Source: RNAcentral